Molecule: microRNA, 21 nt
Filed under: Physcomitrium patens
Lineage: Eukaryota; Viridiplantae; Streptophyta; Bryopsida; Funariales; Funariaceae
Description: ppt-miR1078
Source: miRBase by way of RNAcentral
UUUGGAUGAUUCAAUUGUGAU